This is a non-coding RNA of Dufourea novaeangliae, 120 nucleotides long. The record is from Rfam. Lineage: Eukaryota; Metazoa; Arthropoda; Insecta; Hymenoptera; Halictidae.
GACAACGUUCAUACUACGUUCUAAAAUACCGGUUCUCGUCCGAUCACCGAAGUCAAGAGGCGUUGGGCGUGGUUAGUACUUGGAUGGGUGACCGCCUGGGAAUACCGCGUAAUGUUGGCA